GAUGAAGAACGCAGCGAAAUGCGAUAAGUAAUGUGAAUUGCAGAAUUCAGUGAAUCAUCGAAUCUUUGAACGCACAUUGCGCCCGCCAGUAUUCUGGCGGGCAUGCCUGUUCGAGCGUCAUUACAACCCUCAGGCCCCCGGGCCUGGCGUUGGGGAUCGGCGGAAGCCCCCUGCGGGCACAACGCCGUCCCCCAAAUACAGUGGCGGUCCCGCCGCAGCUUCCAUUGCGUAGUAGCUAACACCUCGCAACUGGAGAGCGGCGCGGCCACGCCGUAAAACACCCAACUUCUGAAUGUUGACCUCGAAUCAGGUAGGAAUACCCGCUGAACUUAAGCAUAACAAUAAGCGGAGGA
RNAcentral lists this unclassified non-coding RNA (353 nucleotides) under soil metagenome. Its description in RNAcentral is "partial contains 5.8S ribosomal RNA, internal transcribed spacer 2, and large subunit ribosomal RNA". The stretch from base 1 to 120 matches the Rfam family "5.8S ribosomal RNA", at positions 35 to 154 of the family's 154-position model. The record is from RNAcentral.